GAGGGCUGCCUCUAGCCUGAUGUGGGUGAGGUAGGGGAAAGUAGCGUGUUUGGAGCACAGCAGAGAAAAAUAACGCAUUUUUCUUCAUGAGGGAGUCGGCUAGUAGGUGUUGGAUCCAGAAUGUAUCGUAAAAUUACAAGUGACUGCAAAUGACAUUUACACCCCAUAAAUCUGUCUCGGUUACAGGACUGCAGAUUUUUCCCUGGCACCUGUCUGUUCCAGAGUGUAGGUGGUUCCCCAGCCUUCCUGCACCGCGUGUUCGUUUCACUGCCGAAGCCCCACAGUUAUCCUGAGGUGGCUGUGCCGGGGGUGGUCAAAGCCUCCCAGCUCCCAAGUCAGGAGCACCCAACGUGGAUACUCAAGUACUGUGAAAUGGAUGCCUAGCCCUUGCGAUGGACCGUCUUGGGGACAGGGGGCUGUGGUCUCACCUGGUGCUCUUGCCCAUCCCCUAGUCUCAGAAGCUGUUAAAUACAGAAAUGUGAACCAAUGGUAAUGGGGGAGCAUGGACGCAGCUGGGCAACAGGGUGUGAACGUGUCUAAGUUGUGUUCCUGUGGGACCUGCAGACAUUUCUGGAAAGUCUGCAGCUUGGAUAAAUAAACCUGGCUGCAUCUCCUGUGAGUGCAUGUGCCCUGAGAGAGAAUGCACUAGGUUUUCUCUGAGAAAAGCUGCAAGAAUCGCACAGAUUUGUGGAAAAUAGGGGUGGCACCUACACCUCUGCUCUGAUCCCAUAUCAAGAGCCCUUAGUCUGUCUUUGCUGUUUAAAAACUUCCAGAGAAAGAGGUUUCUUAGCCUCCCAUAGAAUGCUUGUUCCAGUACAGAACUACCUUUUACAUUUUUUCCUUCUUUCUGGUCAUAAUGAAAGUGACACUUGUGGUGUAUCGAGGCAAUUUCUUUUUGUGCUAUACCUAAUUAUACCUAAUAUUGCUGGAGAGCAAUUGCUCCAUGUCUUUUCAUAACCUCUUUUGGAAGAGUGUUAUCAUGUAAUCUGGUGUUUCUAAACAAAAGUUUACAAUAAAAGCUGUCACUUGGAGCAAAGACUCAGAAA
Long non-coding RNA from Oxyura jamaicensis (ruddy duck), 1046 nucleotides. RefSeq lists it as uncharacterized. The transcript has 3 exons. Lineage: Eukaryota; Metazoa; Chordata; Aves; Anseriformes; Anatidae. The record is from RefSeq and is a predicted model, not a curated record.